AAGAAUUUAGUUAAAAAUAUAACAUUAGUUUGUCAUACUAAAAUUAUUAAAUUCUAUAGUAAUUCUUA
RNAcentral lists this transfer RNA (68 nucleotides) under Atheta sp. 2 EF-2015. RNAcentral describes it as "tRNA-Asp". Lineage: Eukaryota; Metazoa; Arthropoda; Insecta; Coleoptera; Staphylinidae. The record is from RNAcentral.